ACAUGAAAGAUAAAGCCAGUUAAACAGUUUUAGUCUUAAAUAUGUUAACCAACAUAACUGUUCAGUAUCUAACCUCUAAAUAAAAAGUUACAUUAGCAAUAUUUUGUUCUGCAAUUCAAUAAUGAGAAUACUUUCUUACAUUGUAAGAACAGCUUGUUGCAACGCUGUUCCUGGUAAAUCAGGUAAGUUUAUCUGGAAAGUAAUGUAUUUCUGGUUAAGCUCUACACUUACAUAGAAAUACUGAUCUGAAGAAACAAAAAAUUGUAAUAAGAGAUUGCACUGUAGGUCCAUGAUGCUAUUUGAGCUGCUAUGGUCAAUAAAUACCCUCAGUAAUUUUGUCUCCAUCUAAUCCCCUCGAUAUUGCAAAUAGGUUUAGUUUGGACAUUCCCAAUUCGCUCUUCCAUACUAGUAAAAUAGUGAUAUCCCUAGCAAAGGAAUGCUGCAUCUUUACAUACUGUAUCACUCUACCCCCUGAGCUCUGCGUAUUUAGUGUAAAAAUAUAGCCUUGUAUUUUAAAAUUUCAGAUAACAUACUGAAAUUAUUCAUAAUCCAAACUGUAUUUUUUAUAGACAUGAGAAACAUGAUAACUCUGCUAUAUACUUUAAAACCCUGGAAGCCAGAGAAGGUAUCCAAUACUAUACUAUAUACUUACAGCCACUGGAAAUCAGGGCCCCCUCCAUGGCUUUCCUGUUGAGGAACUUCCAAGGCAGCACCACUGAACACUUACUAGUCCCAUUUUUAAGAUCAGUUGACGAUUAAUUGAAGAAAGCUCAAUAUGGUUAGCUGGUUUCUGCACUCUUGUGCUACCACCAAUGACUCCAGGUGCUCAGAAAUAUGGCCUAAACCCCCUACUUUGAGUACGAAGCAGAGAGAUGCAGCAGUGGCAUGCAUAUAUGCAGCAGUGGUGUAUAUGAAUGUGAACACUGGGUGGUGCUGUUGGUGCUCUGUAGUGCCCCAGAAACUUCUGACAGAACUCUGUGUCUACCUGUUUUUUAUACCGUUUAUUUUAUACUGAUCCCAGCUGGGGAAACCUUUGUACCUGUUGCAUUGUUACUAGCUUAAUAUGCAGUGUCUCUUCCCAAGAUCAUAUCGAUAACCAUAUCAGCAUGUGAGAUCUUGAAUAAAAUAAUAAUUUUAUUCUUGGGAAAGAUUCAGGCCUCUUGCAGCGAUGAUGAAUAAAGCCUGCCAAAAACUAUUGCUUCCAGUAGGGCAAGAAGGCUCCUGUGAACAUUGGAAGUUGUAACUCAAAAUCUGCUAAAUAGUACCUAAGCGUCCUCUUCACACGCACACAGGUAUGAAUUUGUAACUGGCCAGGGGCUCGAGUCUGUCCCAAUACUACCACAGUCAACAACCACUCCACUUCCCAGCCUCGGAAAGAAAAGUAACAUCUGUUGUGACAGAUUCAUGCAUAUGCUCACCCUUGCUUCAGGGUAAAGAUCCGUAGUGACACUGACUUGCGAAAUACAAUGAAGACACAGGUUAGCGAGAUAGUGUGACAUGUCACGCCGACACCAUGCAGGUAGAGCACAGAAUCUGGCUUGGCAUGGCCUUUUCCAUACGUAAGUCUUACAAAACUGGAGAGGAGACAGCAGGCAAGGAAAUGAAAAGCUGAAAGAAUCUGGACUUGGGCAAUUACCUGAGCUGACGUGAGUUGGAGGUGUUCUAUUUCAGUUCCGCAUUCAGUGAAGCUGUGGUGUUCCCCUCGCUAAAUGUCAUCUCUAUUUUCCUAAAGCCAAAAUGGGUGAGAAUAGAGAGCUAAAAGGCAGCGCUCUCACUUUGAAAGAGUGCUAUCUAAAUAGUGCUAUUAAGAAGAGCCAGAAGAGAAAAUCGGACUGAGUCACAGCCAGGCGAUCCAUUGGCAGUGUGGUGCCAACAGCAGAGGAACAGGUGACCCUGGCAUAGCACCAAUCCUCAGGGCUCGACAGAUGUGGCCUGGGCUUGUAAGAGAGAAAGGGCUCAAAACACGCUUUCUGUCACUUCCUGAGGUGACUUGAGACACACGCCAAAUGGUCCUUUGCCAGUUUAAUAUUCAAUAACUGUUGUUCCUUACUUUUUUAGUGCAUUGGCUACUGUCAACUUGCUCCACUUGCAACUCAAGAGAGACGAGAGACUUCCUGAUGGUAUCUGAGCAGCUGGGCAACUCAGUCUGAAUGGACUCAAAUAUUGCAGAGGAUUUGCCAAAAAGGACAAGACAGCCUACUUUGCCCAGCCUAGGCCUCACCCUCGGUUCCAUUUCAGAAGAAAAUUUGCAGCGCCUUUUGUCCUGUUAUCAACUUGUGAUAACAACAGACUUGGAAAGUUCUGUGCUGCUGCCUUCUCAGACUUUCCUUUGGCGUCACUUUGGGGAUAGAGAUCAGAGCCAGUAGACAACGCCGGCAACCAGGGCAACCAGCAGAAGA
This is a long non-coding RNA of Cygnus olor (mute swan), 2399 nucleotides long. RefSeq lists it as uncharacterized. The record is from RefSeq and is a predicted model, not a curated record. The transcript has 9 exons. NCBI's taxonomy places the organism in Eukaryota, Metazoa, Chordata, Aves, Anseriformes, Anatidae.